Molecule: ribosomal RNA, 406 nt
Filed under: uncultured bacterium
Lineage: Bacteria
Description: partial 16S ribosomal RNA
Rfam family: Bacterial small subunit ribosomal RNA
Source: RNAcentral
AUUGAACGCUGGCGGCAGGCCUAACACAUGCAAGUCGCACGAGUGGCGGACUGGUGAGUAAUGUCUGGGAAACUGCCUAAUGGAGGGGUCUAACUACUGUAAACGGUAGCUAAUACCGCAUACCAUCAGAUGUGCCCAGAUGGGAUUGGCUUGUUGGUGGGGUAACGGCUCACAAAGGCGAAGAUCCCUAGCUGGUCUGAGAGGAUGACCAGCCACAAUGUGACUGAGACACGGGCCAGACUCCGACGGGAGGCAGCAGUGGGGAAUAGUGGACAAUGGGCGCAAGCCUGAGGCAGCCAUGCCGCGUGUAUGAAGAAGGCUUUCGGGUUGUAAAGUACUUUCAGCGGGGAGGCGUUACCCGCAGAAGAAGCACCGGCUAACUCCGUGCCAGCCGCCGCGGUAAUAC